RNAcentral lists this ribosomal RNA (483 nucleotides) under uncultured bacterium. RNAcentral's name for it is "partial 16S ribosomal RNA". It matches the Rfam family "Bacterial small subunit ribosomal RNA", at positions 28 to 507 of the family's 1533-position model. The record is from RNAcentral.
AUUGAACGCUGGCGGCAUGCUUUACACAUGCAAGUCGAACGGCAGCGCGGGCUUCGGCCUGGCGGCGAGUGGCGAACGGGUGAGUAAUGCGUCGGAACGUGCCCAGUAGUGGGGGAUAGCCCGGCGAAAGCCGGAUUAAUACCGCAUACGACCUGAGGGUGAAAGCGGGGGACCGAAAGGCCUCGCGCUAUUGGAGCGGCCGAUGUCGGAUUAGCUAGUUGGUGGGGUAAAGGCUUACCAAGGCGACGAUCCGUAGCUGGUCUGAGAGGACGACCAGCCACACUGGGACUGAGACACGGCCCAGACUCCUACGGGAGGCAGCAGUGGGGAAUUUUGGACAAGGGGGGCAACCCUGAUCCAGCCAUGCCGCGUGCGGGAAGAAGGCCUUCGGGUUGUAAACCGCUUUUGUUCGGGAAGAAAUCCUCUGGGCUAAUACCCCGGGGGAUGACGGUACCGGAAGAAUAAGCACCGGCUAACUACGUG